GACGAGCGCUGGCGGCGUGCUUAACACAUGCAAGUCGAACGGAAAGGCCCUGCUUGCAGGGUACUCGAGUGGCGAACGGGUGAGUAACACGUGGGUGAUCUGCCCUGCACUUCGGGAUAAGCCUGGGAAACUGGGUCUAAUACCGGAUAGGAGCCAUUUUUAGUGUGAUGGUUGGAAAGUUUUUUCGGUGUAGGAUGAGCUCGCGGCCUAUCAGCUUGUUGGUGGGGUAAUGGCCUACCAAGGCGGCGACGGGUAGCCGGCCUGAGAGGGUGGACGGCCACAUUGGGACUGAGAUACGGCCCAGACUCCUACGGGAGGCAGCAGUGGGGAAUAUUGCACAAUGGGCGCAAGCCUGAUGCAGCGACGCCGCGUGGGGGAUGACGGCCUUCGGGUUGGAAACUCCUUUCGCUAGGGACGAAGCUUUUUGUGACGGUACCUAGAGAAGAAGCACCGGCUAACUACGUG
Molecule: ribosomal RNA, 465 nt
Filed under: uncultured bacterium
Lineage: Bacteria
Description: partial 16S ribosomal RNA
Rfam family: Bacterial small subunit ribosomal RNA
Source: RNAcentral